Molecule: ribosomal RNA, 545 nt
Filed under: uncultured bacterium
Lineage: Bacteria
Description: bacterial SSU rRNA
Rfam family: Bacterial small subunit ribosomal RNA
Source: RNAcentral
GUGCGUAGCGUCCUAUAAGUAUGAUGUGAAAUCUCCAGCUUAACUGGGAGGUGCGCUAUAGACUGUAGACUAGAGUGUGGAGAGAAAGUAGAAUUCCUGGUGUAGCGGUGAAAUGCGUAGAUAUCAGGAAGAAACACCGGUGGUGUAAACGGCUUUCUGGACCAUAACUGACGCUGAGGCACGAAAGCGUGGGUAGCAAACAGGAUUAGAUACCCUGGUAGUCCACGCCCUAAACGAUGCAUAUUUGGUGUGGGUCAUUCAGUUGAUCCGUGCCGGAGCUAACGCGUUAAAUAUGCCGCCUGGGGAGUACAGUCGCAAGGCUGAAACUCAAAGGAAUUGACGGGGGCCCGCACAAGCGGUGGAGCAUGUGGUUUAAUUCGACGCAACGCGAAGAACCUUACCUGGGCUCGAAAUGCUAUGGACCAGCUUAUGAAAGUAGGCCUUCCCGCAAGGGACCGUAGUAUAGGUGCUGCAUGGCUGUCGUCAGCUCGUGUCGUGAGAUGUUGGGUUAAGUCCCGCAACGAGCGCAACCCUUGUCCUGUGUU